Molecule: ribosomal RNA, 509 nt
Filed under: uncultured Desulfobulbus sp.
Lineage: Bacteria; Pseudomonadati; Thermodesulfobacteriota; Desulfobulbia; Desulfobulbales; Desulfobulbaceae
Description: bacterial SSU rRNA
Rfam family: Bacterial small subunit ribosomal RNA
Source: RNAcentral
CGCCUUGCCAGCCCGCUCAGAACUUAAAUGAAUUGACGGGGCCCGCACAAGCGGUGGAGUAUGUGGUUUAAUUCGAUGCAACGCGAAGAACCUUACCUGGUCUUGACAUCCCGGAGACCCUUAGGAAACUAGGGGGUGCUUCCAUCUGGAAGAAUCUGGAGACAGGUGCUGCAUGGCUGUCGUCAGCUCGUGUCGUGAGAUGUUGGGUUAAGUCCCGCAACGAGCGCAACCCUUGCCUUUAGUUGCCAGCAGUUCGGCUGGGCACUCUAAAGGGACUGCCGGUGUUAAACCGGAGGAAGGUGGGGAUGACGUCAAGUCCUCAUGGCCUUUAUGACCAGGGCUACACACGUACUACAAUGGCCGAUACAAAGGGCAGCGACACUGCGAGGUGAAGCCAAUCCCGUAAAAUCGGUCUCAGUCCGGAUUGGAGUCUGCAACUCGACUCCAUGAAGUUGGAAUCGCUAGUAAUCGUGGAUCAGCAUGCCACGGUGAAUACGUUCCCGGGCCUU